AUUGCUUCUUGGCCUUUUGGCUAAGAUCAAGUGUAGUAUCUGUUCUUAUCAGUUUAAUAUCUGAUAUAUCUCUAUCCGAGGACAGCAUAUUAAACAAAUGUUUGGAGGUGGGAGUUGGAAUAGGAGCUGCA
Small nuclear RNA from Heterocephalus glaber (naked mole-rat), 131 nucleotides. Its record names the gene U2. It matches the Rfam family "U2 spliceosomal RNA". From Rfam's summary of the family: U2 is a small nuclear RNA (snRNA) component of the spliceosome (involved in pre-mRNA splicing). Complementary binding between U2 snRNA (in an area lying towards the 5' end but 3' to hairpin I) and the branchpoint sequence (BPS) of the intron results the bulging out of an unpaired adenosine, on the BPS, which initiates a nucleophilic attack at the intronic 5' splice site, thus starting the first of two transesterification reactions that mediate splicing. NCBI's taxonomy places the organism in Eukaryota, Metazoa, Chordata, Mammalia, Rodentia, Bathyergidae. The record is from Ensembl.